RNAcentral lists this ribosomal RNA (366 nucleotides) under Triticum aestivum (bread wheat). Its description in RNAcentral is "partial small subunit ribosomal RNA". The record is from RNAcentral. Lineage: Eukaryota; Viridiplantae; Streptophyta; Magnoliopsida; Poales; Poaceae.
AUGCCUACCGUUGAUCUCAGCUCUCUAUACACGCCUCUAGAUCUCUCUGGACUGAUCGAGCCUUUCUCAUGGGCUGAGAUUGUUGAAGCUAUAAACAAGGCUCCAAACAACAGAAGCCCGGGCCCAUACGGUUUUACCAAUGAAUUCUAUAAAGCCUUCAAGACUCUAUUAAAGGAUGAUCUGCUCAGAUUCUUCAGUGAUCUACAUAGCAACAGUGUUAAUCUCGACGGCAUCAACACUGCCUUCAUCACCUUACUACCCAAAAAGGACACCCCUUUGGAGAUGAAGGAUUAUAGGCCCAUUUCCUUGGUUCACAGCACACCCAAACUUGCUUCCAAGGUCAUGACCAAUAGAUUGCAACAAUAG